AGGAAAAAGAAUUUGUUGGCUCAGUUCAGUCUGGAAACUGGUAAUUGGAGUAGCUCAUGCUAUAGACACAAAACUGCCACACACACACAACAUGAAAUUUAUUAUGAAUCUCACGACUAAAUUUCAUCAAAUACGACAUGUAAUGUCGUCUGCAUUACCUUCCUCUGAGCUGAUAUUUUCGCUCAUGAUGGCUUCGAUAUUGACACAACCUUCACCACAAGUCCUUUUCAUGAUCUGUUUGAUAUACUGUUGUUUGCAGUACCUCGUCAUUAUCGUGGUUCUCGGUGUUUCCGUCACUAGAAUUCAUUUGCAAUUGUACGCUCCAACUCAUAAUUGUUCCGAUUUAAACGGCGUUAAUCCGCCCAUGUUCCUACCUCUUCUCUCUCGACAUGUUGACCAAUUCAUGGAACGCGACAGACCCAUGCAUCUCCAUUUCCGGCAUUGAUGCAAAUUUUAAAAUAUCGCUACUAUUUUGACUCGCCCUGUGAUCUCUCAACCAGUUUUAUCCAUCGCUACCACAUCUAUAACGAAAUCGAUCUGAUGAAGUUAAGGUUGAAAUGAAAUUGUAUUUUUUUUCCACCAAUACACCAAUAGUAAUUGAGAACCUA
Daphnia pulex (common water flea) is the source of this 608-nucleotide long non-coding RNA. RefSeq lists it as uncharacterized. NCBI's taxonomy places the organism in Eukaryota, Metazoa, Arthropoda, Branchiopoda, Diplostraca, Daphniidae. The transcript has 2 exons. The record is from RefSeq and is a predicted model, not a curated record.